UACAGAGGGUGCGAGCGUUAAUCGGAAUUACUGGGCGUAAAGGGCGCGUAGGUGGAUUAGAAAGUUGGAUGUGAAAUCCCUGGGCUCAACCUAGGAAUUGCAUUCAAAACUACUAGUCUAGAGUACAGUAGAGGGAAGUGGAAUUUCCGGUGUAGCGGUGAAAUGCGUAGAGAUCGGAAGGAACACCAGUGGCGAAGGCGGCUUCCUGGACUGAUACUGACACUGAUGUGCGAAAGCGUGGGGAUCAAACAGG
Molecule: ribosomal RNA, 253 nt
Filed under: uncultured bacterium
Lineage: Bacteria
Description: partial 16S ribosomal RNA
Rfam family: Bacterial small subunit ribosomal RNA
Source: RNAcentral